Molecule: ribosomal RNA, 390 nt
Filed under: uncultured soil bacterium
Lineage: Bacteria
Description: bacterial SSU rRNA
Rfam family: Bacterial small subunit ribosomal RNA
Source: RNAcentral
AGAGUGAACGCUGGCGGUAGGCCUAACACAUGCAAGUCGAACGGCAGCACAGUGGUAGCAAUACCAUGGGUGGCGAGUGGCGGACGGGUGAGGAAUACAUCGGAAUCUACCUUUUCGUGGGGGAUAACGUAGGGAAACUUACGCUAAUACCGCAUACGCCCUUCGGGGGAAAGCCGGGGAUCGCAAGACCUGGCGCGGAUAGAUGAGCCGAUGUCGGAUUAGCUAGUUGGUGAGGUAAUGGCUCACCAAGGCGACGAUCCGUAGCUGGUCUGAGAGGAUGAUCAGCCACACUGGAACUGAGACACGGUCCAGACUCCUACGGGAGCAGCAGUGGGAAUAGUUGGACAAGUGGGCGCAAGCCUGACUCCGAGCCAUACCGCGUGGGUAGAA